Molecule: small RNA, 526 nt
Filed under: Pongo abelii (Sumatran orangutan)
Lineage: Eukaryota; Metazoa; Chordata; Mammalia; Primates; Hominidae
Description: processed transcript
Source: RNAcentral
CAGGAGAUUGAGAGAGUGUUCCAUGAACUUAUCCUAUUACAGGAAGAGAAAGUGAGAUUCCAGUUGAAUUUGACAAUUCAAAUUCUUCUUAAACAAGGACAAGUAGAACUGGAAAAUUUCCAGCUAGUACUGGAGUAUUCUGAUGCAAUUCUCAUCAACAAGAGCAUAAUUGAAGAUUUGAAUUCUGUGAUUCGGACUCAAGGACAAAAGAAAGUUGCUAGCAUGAUGGAAAGUAAAGAUGUACACAAAAGAAUACUUCAGAUUGAGUGGGAACAUAAGAAAAUGGAGAUGGAAAGGGAAGAUCUAAAUCAGAAGGCUUGGGAUAUUCAGAUGCUAUUUUUUUCAAGAGAUCGUCAAAAGGUAAAUUCUCCCUACCCCCCUACAUAGUUUUAAUUUUAUUCAUUAAUGUAUUCAUUCAUUUAACCAGUAUUUAAUAAGAAGCCUCUGUGAUAUCAAGCAUAUUCUAAGCCAGGAGUGUUUCAAAAUAUAUCUGUGAGUUAUUUUUCUUCCAAUAGUUUACAUUUGC